UACGAAGGGGGCUAGCGUUGCUCGGAAUCACUGGGCGUAAAGCGCACGUAGGCGGCUUUUUAAGUCAGGGGUGAAAUCCUGGAGCUCAACUCCAGAACUGCCUUUGAUACUGGGAAGCUUGAGUCCGGGAGAGGUGAGUGGAACUCCGAGUGUAGAGGUGAAAUUCGUAGAUAUUCGGAAGAACACCAGUGGCGAAGGCGGCUCACUGGCCCGGUACUGACGCUCAGGUGCGAAAGCGUGGGGAGCAAACAGG
RNAcentral lists this ribosomal RNA (253 nucleotides) under uncultured bacterium. RNAcentral describes it as "partial 16S ribosomal RNA". It matches the Rfam family "Bacterial small subunit ribosomal RNA", at positions 524 to 776 of the family's 1533-position model. The record is from RNAcentral.